GACGAAACGUGGCUCCGCGAGAUGACCUUGCUGAGAAACGUCUGCGACCACAUGUCCUGCGACAAGCUGUCCGCGGCGGUGCCGGAUGAAAUAGCGAGCGCUGCACAUACUGCAGACAGUUUUGCUGUUAGCGUAUGCCAGAACUGCACCAUAUCAGCUAUGCCGGUAGCCGCUUUUUGCCAGCGUCCCGAGGCGCUUAGCUCCCGAACGCUUCCUCUCGCUGCGAAUACUGAAUCACCAAGAUACCUUCAACACAAAAGUUAUCAGAUUACAACGUCUACUAGCUGUACGAUCAGCAGUCCACAAUAUACCCUGUAUGGACGAAAGCUCGUAAUGCGCCAAGAAGGUUGGUAGAAACGGAUUCAUUCAGCGUUAUGUUGUAUAUUCCUUUCACAGGUGUGCCGAACAGGUAUCCCAGCUCCAUGCCAUGAAAAGCUCCUGUUAAAAGAUUUUAUCACAUACUAAGUUUAAGCGGCACUAACAACGGUAAAUGCACAGAUAAUGGCGGCUGACGUGUAUUACGAAGGAAAAAAUCAUGUUGACUGUUGAGUAUAAAGCGUUUCGUGGCUCCGCACUAAGUUCUGCUAAUUUCGCUUUUACUGAAGAAGUAUGGUUAGAUCUGAAGAGGAGUGUUUUACCUAAGUUCAUAUACUGUGAAUCAUAGGAAAUGCGAUAUAAAUGGCUGGAUAUUC
Molecule: long non-coding RNA, 692 nt
Organism: Paramacrobiotus metropolitanus
Lineage: Eukaryota; Metazoa; Tardigrada; Eutardigrada; Parachela; Macrobiotidae
Exons: 2
Source: RefSeq, a predicted model, not a curated record